GACGAACGCUGGCGGCGUGCCUAAUACAUGCAAGUCGAACGCUUCUUUCCUCCCGAGUGCUUGCACUCAAUUGGGAAGAGGAGUGGCGGACGGGUGAGUAACACGUGGGUAACCUACCCAUCAGAGGGGGAUAACACUUGGAAACAGGUGCUAAUACCGCAUAACAGUUUAUGCCGCAUGGCAUAAGAGUGAAAGGCGCUUUCGGGUGUCGCUGAUGGAUGGACCCGCGGUGCAUUAGCUAGUUGGUGAGGUAACGGCUCACCAAGGCCACGAUGCAUAGCCGACCUGAGAGGGUGAUCGGCCACACUGGGACUGAGACACGGCCCAGACUCCUACGGGAGGCAGCAGUAGGGAAUCUUCGGCAAUGGACGAAAGUCUGACCGAGCAACGCCGCGUGAGUGAAGAAGGUUUUCGGAUCGUAAAACUCUGUUGUUAGAGAAGAACAAGGACGUUAGUAACUGAACGUCCCCUGACGGUAUCUAACCAGAAAGCCACGGCUAACUACGUGCCAGCAGCCGCAGUAA
Molecule: ribosomal RNA, 524 nt
Filed under: uncultured bacterium
Lineage: Bacteria
Description: partial 16S ribosomal RNA
Rfam family: Bacterial small subunit ribosomal RNA
Source: RNAcentral